AAUCAACGCUGGCGGCGUGCCUCAGACAUGCAAGUCGAACGAUUAAGACUCUCUUCGGAGAGUGUAUAAAGUGGCGCACGGGUGAGUAACACGUAGGUAAUGUACCGUAGGGUGGGAAUAACUUAGGGAAACUUAAGCUAAUACCGCAUAAUGCAGCGGCUCGACAUCGAGACAGUUGUUAAAGGGAAAUCCGCCUUAUGAGCAGCCUGCGGCAGAUUAGCUAGUUGGUAAGGUAAUGGCUUACCAAGGCUACGAUCUGUAACCGACCUGAGAGGUGUCGGUCACACUGACACUGAAUAACGGGUCAGACUCCUACGGGAGGCAGCAGUCGGGAAUUUUGGGCAAUGGGCGAAAGCCUGACCCAGCAACGCCGCGUGAAGGAUGAAGUAUUUCGGUAUGUAAACUUCGUAAGAAUAGGAAGAAUAAAUGACGGUACUAUUUGUAAGGUCCGGCUAACUACGUGCCAGCAGCCGCGGUAAGGCACGACUGU
This 490-nucleotide ribosomal RNA is filed under the name uncultured bacterium. RNAcentral describes it as "bacterial SSU rRNA". It matches the Rfam family "Bacterial small subunit ribosomal RNA", at positions 32 to 532 of the family's 1533-position model. The record is from RNAcentral.